This 497-nucleotide ribosomal RNA is filed under the name uncultured bacterium. RNAcentral describes it as "partial 16S ribosomal RNA". It matches the Rfam family "Bacterial small subunit ribosomal RNA", at positions 28 to 507 of the family's 1533-position model. The record is from RNAcentral.
GAUGAACGCUGGCGGCGUGCCUAAUACAUGCAAGUCGAACGGACGGACGCUACUCUUGUUUCUCUGAUGUUUGCGGCGCACGUGUGUGUCACGCGUGUAUCCCCUACCUAUCUUUCUGGGAUCACUUCGGAACUCCGGCUCUUAUCCCAGAUGAUCUUUUGCUCCGCAUUGUUCAAAAGUGAAAUACGGUCUUUGUGUCUCGUCUCGCUGGUUCCGCGCUGCAUUAUCUAGUUGUUACGUUAACGGCUUACCACGGCGACGAUGCAUAGCCGACCUGAGGGGGUGAUCGGCCACACUGGAACUGAGACACGGUCCAGACGCCUACGGGAGGCAGCAGUAGGGAAUCGUCCGCAAUGGGCGAAAGCCUGACGGAGCAACGCCGCGUGAGUGAUGAAGGUCUUCGGAUCGUAAAACUCUGUUAUUAGGGAAGAACAUAUGUGUAAGUAACUGUGCACAUCUUGACGGUACCUAAUCAGAAAGCCACGGCUAACUACGUG